CUCCGUUGGGCCAAAGUUUUAGAAACAACAGGGUUGCAUUCCAAAUGUAACCCUAUUCUCUAUAUGGUGCACUACUUUUGACCAGAGCCCCAUAGGGAAUAGGCUGUUAUUUGGGACGCAGCCUUAGAAAUAACAGGCUUCGGAAACAAGGCAGACUUCAUUAAGGCCUCAGUCCACGGCCAUGUACCUCAACCACACAUCCUCGUUCUACUGCGGAGUCAACACCUACCUGAAGCUAUGUGCUUCAUCCAAAGUAAUUCUCUUGGUCCCCGGCUUCGGUCUCAACAUCUUUAUCCUGACCUCGCUGAUCUCCUGCCUGCUCAGCCGACGCAGUAAGAUACGGAGCAACGUGGCCGUCUUCAUCCUUGGCAGCACCACCUGUAACCUGGUCAACCUCAGCCUUUGGCCCCUGAUUAUCCACUGGAGGACCCAUGGACGUUGGGCUCUGGGCGAGGGACUCUGUGAGGUCAUGGUUAGUGCCAAGCAACUGACUUCCUCAGCUUCCUACCACUACGUCUCCUUCAUCUCCUUCUCCAUCUACCUGACGGUGGUGUGUGACUGUGGUCGUCUGGUGAACAGCAGGGCGCUCCUGGCUCUGGAGCUGCUCUUCCCCCUCCUCCCUGUGGGGUUGAAGGAGCUGAUCCAGUGGGUCCUAGGGAGCAGGGUGGAACACCUGGACCCCGUCAACCACACAUGCUUCUCCUAUAUCAAUGAUAGAGUCAUGAGGGUUCUCAUGCUGGUCAAGAUCGCAGUGUUCCUGCCGUUGAACCUCUAUUUCUACGCUCAUGUGCUGCAUACGAUUUUCAAGAGCGCCAAGGUGAUGCACCGGAGCCAGGCAGUCAAUAAGAAACUGGCCAAGGUGUUUAGUGUCAUAUCUCUGAUUACGCUACUGGCACAUCUUCCUGGUGGGAUAUUCACUCUGAUGAAGGAACCCACAGUGUGCCAGGAGAUGGUGGAAGAGUUUCUGCUGGACCUUCCUCUCUUCUCCAGCCCCAUCGUACUGCUAUGUAUGAAUAAAGAGCUGCAGACCCACUGUGUAACACUGCUGAAGCGUAAACCUGUGUCCUGCAGCAGGAAAGACAAGACAGGGAUCAAGACUGAUGAGCAACACAAGAGUUUGACCAUUGGAGAAACAGGGGUUACCAGUGAGUCUGGUAUGUGAGGAAUUGGUAUUUUUUUCUUCCAAAUGUACUUAAUAAAAAAUAAUAUGAAG
RNAcentral lists this long non-coding RNA (1213 nucleotides) under Salmo salar (Atlantic salmon). RNAcentral describes it as "lncRNA (ENSSSAG00000099935.1)". The record is from RNAcentral. Lineage: Eukaryota; Metazoa; Chordata; Actinopteri; Salmoniformes; Salmonidae.